AUAAACUGGGAUUUAACGUCUCAA
RNAcentral lists this non-coding RNA (24 nucleotides) under Arabidopsis thaliana (thale cress). The record is from RNAcentral. Lineage: Eukaryota; Viridiplantae; Streptophyta; Magnoliopsida; Brassicales; Brassicaceae.